GCGCCUGUAGCUCAAUAGGAUAGAGCAACGGACUUCUAAUCCGUAGGUUUUGGGUUCGAUUCCCGACAGGCGUG
This 74-nucleotide transfer RNA is filed under the name Planctomycetia bacterium. RNAcentral's name for it is "tRNA-Arg". It matches the Rfam family "tRNA". Rfam says of the family: Transfer RNA (tRNA) molecules are approximately 80 nucleotides in length. Their secondary structure includes four short double-helical elements and three loops (D, anti-codon, and T loops). The record is from RNAcentral. Lineage: Bacteria; Pseudomonadati; Planctomycetota; Planctomycetia.